ACCUAGACCAGGGGCGUGAGGGCCAGGG
This 28-nucleotide small RNA is filed under the name Bombyx mori (domestic silkworm). RNAcentral describes it as "ovarian small RNA-11335". Lineage: Eukaryota; Metazoa; Arthropoda; Insecta; Lepidoptera; Bombycidae. The record is from RNAcentral.